Molecule: long non-coding RNA, 288 nt
Filed under: Mytilus galloprovincialis (Mediterranean mussel)
Lineage: Eukaryota; Metazoa; Mollusca; Bivalvia; Mytilida; Mytilidae
Source: RNAcentral
CCCUUUUUAAAAUGGCUGGAUCCGCCACUGCGGCCUUGUUUACAAACAAUGUAGAUUCGCACUGAAUUCCUAUACUGACCCCCAUUACUUUUCAACCCUGUAGGAAAUAAAAUUAGUACAUACAGCAUUUAUUUUUUUUUAUUUUUUUCAACUCUAGUUUUGAUCCAUCUACCAAAAAAUAUUUAUUACAAACAUUAUCUACCAAUCAGAAGAGCACUUGACUUCAGUUUUAGACAGAAAGCUCUCCCCCAAAUGGGCGGUACCUGAUGACGUAUAUUUAUUUACUGA